RNAcentral lists this ribosomal RNA (497 nucleotides) under uncultured bacterium. Its description in RNAcentral is "partial 16S ribosomal RNA". It matches the Rfam family "Bacterial small subunit ribosomal RNA", at positions 28 to 507 of the family's 1533-position model. The record is from RNAcentral.
GAUGAACGCUGGCGGCGUGCCUAAUACAUGCAAGUCGAGCGGACAGAUCAGGAGCUUGCUCCUCUGACGUUAGCGGCGGACGUGUGAGUAACAUGUGGAUAACCUCCCUAUAAGACUGGGAUAACUUCGGGAAACCGGCUCUUAUCCCGUAUAAUAUCUUGAACCGCAUGGUUCAAUGGUGAAAGUCGGUUUUGCUGUCUCUUAUAGAUGGAUCCGCGCGGCAUUAGCUGGUUGGUAAGGUAACGGCUUACCAAGGCGACGAUGCGUAGCCGACCGGAGAGGGUGGUCGGCCACACUGGAGCUGGGCCGCGGACCAGAGGCCUACGAGAGGCAGCAGUAGGCAAUCGUCCGCAGUGGGCGAAAACCUGACGGAACAACGCCGAGUGAGUUGUGGAGGUCUUCGGAUCGUAAAACUCUGUUAUUAGGGAAAAACAGAUGUGGAAGUAGCUAUGCACGUCUUGACGGUAACUGGUCAGAAAGCAACGGCUAACUACGUG